UACGUAGGGCGCAAGCGUUGUCCGGAAUUAUUGGGCGUAAAGAGCUCGUAGGCGGCUUGUCACGUCGGGUGUGAAAGCCCGGGGCUUAACUCCGGGUCUGCAUUCGAUACGGGCUAGCUAGAGUGUGGUAGGGGAGAUCGGAAUUCCUGGUGUAGCGGUGAAAUGCGUAGAUAUCUGGAGGAACACCGGUGGCGAAGGCGGCAUCCUGGACCGGUAUUGACGCUGAGGCGCGAAAGCCAGGGGAGCAAACGGG
RNAcentral lists this ribosomal RNA (253 nucleotides) under uncultured bacterium. RNAcentral's name for it is "partial 16S ribosomal RNA". It matches the Rfam family "Bacterial small subunit ribosomal RNA", at positions 524 to 776 of the family's 1533-position model. The record is from RNAcentral.